UUAGUUGUGUGCGCGGCCCAACACGAAGAUCGUGCGCCGUCCCGAGACUGCGGAAGCCGAAGAACCGUUCUGCCAACAGACAGUACAGUCGUAGAACUGGCCUAAGCGACGAUAGUUCCAGUAGAGGAGCUAUCGAGGGGGGGAGGGGGUUUAGCCGGGACGGGACCCUGCCACUACUCAGGAGACUUACGAAUACGAAAAUCAAUACCACACAACAGCAGCUGAAACUUCUGGCUUGGGUGUUGAUAUUCGUAGUAGUAAGCAACCAGAGAAAACUCACGUUCUCGGUUUUAAAAAAAAAAAAAAAAAAAGGAAAACUUGCGACAUCGUCUUCUAAAUCAAACGGCUGAGUAUCUAACAAUUUGUUUUCCCUAAAAAUCUGUGUAUCACUUGCAAAAAUCUAGUCAGUCUGCGACAUUCACUGUUUACCUUUUUAUGUUCUCACUGUACUCUACGCUUCGCACAAAUAAUCGAAAGGCCGUUUGUUAUUACAGCCGCUUUAACUGCAUUUCAGGAUUAAUAUUGCGAAUCCAUAUCAGUUCUUUUGUCAUUUUUGGCAUCCUUGAUGGAUCCUACCAUACGUUGCAAAUCCUUCUUCGAUUGUUGGUACUGUGGCACCACUCUAAGGUGGCGUUUUCCAUGACAAAGACUAACGAUGAAUCCUAUCCUUUUAACUUUGAAAAAUCCUGAAAUCUUUUUUUUUUUUCUUUUCUUUUGCCAUCGGUUUUCUUAUUAUUCGUCGCGUUUCCAGGGUGAAGGAAGUGGAGCGGCCUCAAGUGAGGAAAGGCCCAAUGAGCUACAAUCCUGGGGAUUUCGAAAGCCAGUUGGCCGUCGACCGUCCAACCAAGUGGAACUAUGGAACUCUUUCUGAAAAGAUCGACCUUUUUUGUCAGUGAGUGAGUGAAAAAGAGAGCGCGUGAGUGAGCGUGUUGGCCGCUUCUAGGUGGUGCGCAAACCACAGCCAGAAUCUGAAAAUAGUUUCCACCCAACCAGGAACUGGCAUUCAAGGAGCAUACACAACACAAACUGGUUGCUUCAACCAUCACCAAGCCAACGAACCUUUAGGAAUAUUUUGAACGCGUAAAACCUGUAAAUCCCGCCAUGAUAAUACCGGAUGCAUACCAAUAACGUAUCGGCUGCAACCGGCCCGCAAACUCAACGGAUGGGCCAAAAGAAAGUCAAGAAAUCGAUUUCUAGCCAGAAAUGGAUGACAGAUGAUGUUCGUUGCGGUUACGUACUGCAUGGCCGCCAACGGGUUAGGAGAGCCUGAUCAACUACUUUGGGCUGACUACGUUGUAUAUAUUUACUUCAUCUAUCCUUUUUCUCUCUCUCUCUCUUAAGUUUUUCGUCUUGCCAGUCUGUGUGUACAUUGCUCGCUUUGGCUGCGUGUGAGUGUGUGUGUACGUGUGUGUGAGCGCUGACUUCUAUUUCCAUCCGGCAGAUUCCACCUCCGCCAGCCAAAAAAAUCCUGGGUCAGCCCGACAAUCUUAACCAAUGUCAGCUAACCACCGAAAAAGGGAGCGCGCAAGAAGAAGAAACAAAAGGAG
RNAcentral lists this long non-coding RNA (1547 nucleotides) under Daphnia magna. RNAcentral describes it as "uncharacterized LOC123470583". Lineage: Eukaryota; Metazoa; Arthropoda; Branchiopoda; Diplostraca; Daphniidae. The record is from RNAcentral.